Long non-coding RNA from Chelonia mydas (Green sea turtle), 951 nucleotides. RefSeq lists it as uncharacterized. The transcript is spliced from 3 exons. NCBI's taxonomy places the organism in Eukaryota, Metazoa, Chordata, Testudines, Cheloniidae. The record is from RefSeq and is a predicted model, not a curated record.
CGCAAGGAUGAGAAAAACCAGGUGACCAGUUCCAACUACAGUGCCCCCUUGCAACUGAUGGUCACAGGUGUGGCCCCUUCACAGUGUGGGCAGGGGAAAGGGCUCAAGUGGAGGAUAUCCGGCAUUUAGUAGAUUAUUCCUCCCCCACCCGGCCAUAUCAGGCUUGUUUGUAACAUUUUCUGCCCCCAAAGCUGUGCUUUCAAUAGGAAAACAGCUGUGUUCUGUACUAGAAUCAGCUAACUCGAGGUAAAACUGCAGUGAAGACAGGACAGUUUGGAGAUGUCACGUGUUAGCAGGCCGAGUUUUGGCUACAGGGGAGCCAGGAGCCAGACAUGCAAAGGUAUUCAUGGUAGAUGCAGACCCCAAUUUAACUCAUUCCUAGCUAAGACACUGUGAUAUUUCUUGUGUUUAUUGACCAGACAGAAAGGCUCUCCUCGAUGGCAGCAGAGUCACUGACCAGCCUGAGAAAACUCCACCUCACAAAGGCCAGAAGCUGAUCGCAAGCACCAGCCUCAGCCCUGAGGAUCCACCGUCUCAGGCAGGUGCUGGGGUUACAGGCCAGGAGUUCUGCAACUCCCCAGGUGAAUGUGUGAGCACAAGACAUGGGAAGAAAAAGAGAGGAAGAAAAAGGAACAAAGCUCCCAGUCCCUUGUAAUGGGGGGAGUUGGGAGGGGAGAAUCCUUUUGCACAAUCUUUGCCUGAAACCCCGUUAUUAAGCAGUAACUGGAACUUCUCGCAGUGGCUGACCAUAAAUGUUUGGGGGCAGAUUCUCUGAUGCUGUAAACUGGUGUAGCUUUGUUGACUCAUGGGGUGUGAGACACAGAAUCAUAGCAGAUUAGGGUAGGAAGAGACCUCAGAAGGUCAUCUAGUCUAACCCUCUGCUCAAAGCAGGACCAAAUCCAACUAAAUCAUCUCAGCCAGGGUUUUGUCAAGCCAGGCCUUAAAAACCUC